Molecule: ribosomal RNA, 256 nt
Filed under: uncultured bacterium
Lineage: Bacteria
Description: partial 16S ribosomal RNA
Rfam family: Bacterial small subunit ribosomal RNA
Source: RNAcentral
UAAUACGUAGGGGGCAAGCGUUGUCCGGAUUUACUGGGUGUAAAGGGCGCGCAGGCGGGAUAGCAAGUCAGAGGUGAAAUCCUACAGCUUAACUGUAGAACUGCCUUUGAUACUGUUAUUCUUGAGUUCGGGAGAGAGAGACGGAAUUCCAGGUGUAGUGGUGAAAUACGUAGAUAUCUGGAAGAACACCAGUUGCGAAGGCGGUCUCUUGGUCCGAUACUGACGCUGAGGCGCGAAAGCGUGGGGAGCAAACAGG